CGUAGCCCAAGAGAUCGGGAUAACACCUGGAAACAGAUGCUAAUACCGGAUAACAACAGAUGAUGCCUAUCAACUGUUUAAAAGAUGGUUCUGCUAUCACUCUUGGAUGGACCUGCGGUGCAUUAGCUAGUUGGUAGGGUAACGGCCUACCAAGGCGAUGAUGCAUAGCCGAGUUGAGAGACUGAUCGGCCACAUUGGGACUGAGACACGGCCCAAACUCCUACGGGAGGCAGCAGAC
RNAcentral lists this ribosomal RNA (238 nucleotides) under uncultured Lactobacillus sp. RNAcentral describes it as "partial 16S ribosomal RNA". It matches the Rfam family "Bacterial small subunit ribosomal RNA", at positions 124 to 354 of the family's 1533-position model. The record is from RNAcentral. Lineage: Bacteria; Bacillati; Bacillota; Bacilli; Lactobacillales; Lactobacillaceae.